GACGAACGCUGGCGGCGUGCCUAAUACAUGCAAGUUGAGCGAUGAAGAUUGGUGCUUGCACCAAUUUGAAGAGCAGCGAACGGGUGAGUAACGCGUGGGGAAUCUGCCUUUGAGCGGGGGACAACAUUUGGAAACGAAUGCUAAUACCGCAUAACAACUUUAAACAUAAGUUUUAAGUUUGAAAGAUGCAAUUGCAUCACUCAAAGAUUAUCCCGCGUUGUAUUAGCUAGUUGGUGAGGUAAAGGCUCACCAAGGCGAUGAUACAUAGCCGACCUGAGAGGGUGAUCGGCCACAUUGGGACUGAGACACGGCCCAAACUCCUACGGGAGGCAGCAGUAGGGAAUCUUCGGCAAUGGACGAAAGUCUGACCGAGCAACGCCGCGUGAGUGAAGAAGGGUUUCGGAUCGUAAAACUCUGUUGGUAGAGAAGAAAGUUGGUGAGAGUGGAAAGCUCAUCAAGUGACGGUAACUACCCAGAAAGGGACGGCUAACUACGUG
This 497-nucleotide ribosomal RNA is filed under the name uncultured bacterium. RNAcentral describes it as "partial 16S ribosomal RNA". It matches the Rfam family "Bacterial small subunit ribosomal RNA", at positions 28 to 507 of the family's 1533-position model. The record is from RNAcentral.